This 901-nucleotide ribosomal RNA is filed under the name uncultured Planctomycetia bacterium. Its description in RNAcentral is "bacterial SSU rRNA". It matches the Rfam family "Bacterial small subunit ribosomal RNA", at positions 58 to 991 of the family's 1533-position model. Lineage: Bacteria; Pseudomonadati; Planctomycetota; Planctomycetia. The record is from RNAcentral.
CAAGUCGCGGGAAUCCCCAGCAAUGGGGGGAACCGGCGUAAGGGGCAGUAAGGCGUAGGUACCUACCCCGUGGUCCGGGAUAGCCCGCCGAGAGGCGGGGUAAUACCGGAUGACCUCGGGAGAGCAAAGCUCCGGCGCCAUGGGCGGGGCCUACGUGAUAUUACCUAGUUGGCGGGGUAACGGCCCACCAAGGGGGAGAUGUCUAGCGGGUGUGAGAGCACGACCCGCGCCACUCGCACUGAGACACUGGCGAGACACCUACGGGUGGCUGCAGUCGAGGAUCUUCGGCAAUGGGGGCAACCCUGACCGAGCGAUGCCGCGUGGGCGACGAAGGCCUUCGGGUUGUAAAGCCCUGUCGAGGGGGAGAAAGCCGCAAGGCGGAUCCAUCCCUGGAGGAAGCUCGGGCUAAGUUCGUGCCAGCAGCCGCGGUAAGACGAACCGAGCGAACGUUGUUCGGAAUCACUGGGCUUAAAGGGCGCGUAGGCGGGCUGCCGCGUCCGGGGUGAAAUCCCACGGCUCAACCGUGGAACGGCCCCGGGUACGGGCGGCCUCGAGGGGGGUAGGGGCGUGCGGAACUGUGGGUGGAGCGGUGAAAUGCGUUGAUAUCCACAGGAACUCCGGUGGCGAAGGCGGCACGCUGGACCCCUUCUGACGCUGAGGCGCGAAAGCCAGGGGAGCGAACGGGAUUAGAUACCCCGGUAGUCCUGGCCCUAAACGAUGAGAACUGGGUAGUAGCCCGGGCAUGGGGUUACUGCCGCAGCCAAAGUGCUAAGUUCUCCGCCUGGGGAGUAUGGUCGCAAGGCUGAAACUCAAAGGAAUUGACGGGGGCUCACACAAGCGGUGGAGCAUGUGGCUUAAUUCGAGGCUACGCGAAGAACCUUAUCCUGGGCUUGACAUGUGC